This 2124-nucleotide ribosomal RNA is filed under the name Staphylococcus aureus. Its description in RNAcentral is "partial 23S ribosomal RNA". It matches the Rfam family "Bacterial large subunit ribosomal RNA", at positions 513 to 2641 of the family's 2925-position model. The record is from RNAcentral. Lineage: Bacteria; Bacillati; Bacillota; Bacilli; Caryophanales; Staphylococcaceae.
GGUGAAAAGCACCCCGGAAGGGGAGUGAAAUAGAACCUGAAACCGUGUGCUUACAAGUAGUCAGAGCCCGUUAAUGGGUGAUGGCGUGCCUUUUGUAGAAUGAACCGGCGAGUUACGAUUUGAUGCAAGGUUAAGCAGUAAAUGUGGAGCCGUAGCGAAAGCGAGUCUGAAUAGGGCGUUUAGUAUUUGGUCGUAGACCCGAAACCAGGUGAUCUACCCUUGGUCAGGUUGAAGUUCAGGUAACACUGAAUGGAGGACCGAACCGACUUACGUUGAAAAGUGAGCGGAUGAACUGAGGGUAGCGGAGAAAUUCCAAUCGAACCUGGAGAUAGCUGGUUCUCUCCGAAAUAGCUUUAGGGCUAGCCUCAAGUGAUGAUUAUUGGAGGUAGAGCACUGUUUGGACGAGGGGCCCCUCUCGGGUUACCGAAUUCAGACAAACUCCGAAUGCCAAUUAAUUUAACUUGGGAGUCAGAACAUGGGUGAUAAGGUCCGUGUUCGAAAGGGAAACAGCCCAGACCACCAGCUAAGGUCCCAAAAUAUAUGUUAAGUGGAAAAGGAUGUGGCGUUGCCCAGACAACUAGGAUGUUGGCUUAGAAGCAGCCAUCAUUUAAAGAGUGCGUAAUAGCUCACUAGUCGAGUGACACUGCGCCGAAAAUGUACCGGGGCUAAACAUAUUACCGAAGCUGUGGAUUGUCCUUUGGACAAUGGUAGGAGAGCGUUCUAAGGGCGUUGAAGCAUGAUCGUAAGGACAUGUGGAGCGCUUAGAAGUGAGAAUGCCGGUGUGAGUAGCGAAAGACGGGUGAGAAUCCCGUCCACCGAUUGACUAAGGUUUCCAGAGGAAGGCUCGUCCGCUCUGGGUUAGUCGGGUCCUAAGCUGAGGCCGACAGGCGUAGGCGAUGGAUAACAGGUUGAUAUUCCUGUACCACCUAUAAUCGUUUUAAUCGAUGGGGGGACGCAGUAGGAUAGGCGAAGCGUGCGAUUGGAUUGCACGUCUAAGCAGUAAGGCUGAGUAUUAGGCAAAUCCGGUACUCAUUAAGGCUGAGCUGUGAUGGGGAGAAGACAUUGUGUCUUCGAGUCGUUGAUUUCACACUGCCGAGAAAAGCCUCUAGAUAGAAAAUAGGUGCCCGUACCGCAAACCGACACAGGUAGUCAAGAUGAGAAUUCUAAGGUGAGCGAGCGAACUCUCGUUAAGGAACUCGGCAAAAUGACCCCGUAACUUCGGGAGAAGGGGUGCUCUUUAGGGUUAACGCCCAGAAGAGCCGCAGUGAAUAGGCCCAAGCGACUGUUUAUCAAAAACACAGGUCUCUGCUAAACCGUAAGGUGAUGUAUAGGGGCUGACGCCUGCCCGGUGCUGGAAGGUUAAGAGGAGUGGUUAGCUUCUGCGAAGCUACGAAUCGAAGCCCCAGUAAACGGCGGCCGUAACUAUAACGGUCCUAAGGUAGCGAAAUUCCUUGUCGGGUAAGUUCCGACCCGCACGAAAGGCGUAACGAUUUGGGCACUGUCUCAACGAGAGACUCGGUGAAAUCAUAGUACCUGUGAAGAUGCAGGUUACCCGCGACAGGACGGAAAGACCCCGUGGAGCUUUACUGUAGCCUGAUAUUGAAAUUCGGCACAGCUUGUACAGGAUAGGUAGGAGCCUUUGAAACGUGAGCGCUAGCUUACGUGGAGGCGCUGGUGGGAUACUACCCUAGCUGUGUUGGCUUUCUAACCCGCACCACUUAUCGUGGUGGGAGACAGUGUCAGGCGGGCAGUUUGACUGGGGCGGUCGCCUCCUAAAAGGUAACGGAGGCGCUCAAAGGUUCCCUCAGAAUGGUUGGAAAUCAUUCAUAGAGUGUAAAGGCAUAAGGGAGCUUGACUGCGAGACCUACAAGUCGAGCAGGGUCGAAAGACGGACUUAGUGAUCCGGUGGUUCCGCAUGGAAGGGCCAUCGCUCAACGGAUAAAAGCUACCCCGGGGAUAACAGGCUUAUCUCCCCCAAGAGUUCACAUCGACGGGGAGGUUUGGCACCUCGAUGUCGGCUCAUCGCAUCCUGGGGCUGUAGUCGGUCCCAAGGGUUGGGCUGUUCGCCCAUUAAAGCGGUACGCGAGCUGGGUUCAGAACGUCGUGAGACAGUUCGGUCCCUAU